Molecule: long non-coding RNA, 1077 nt
Filed under: Anser brachyrhynchus (Pink-footed goose)
Lineage: Eukaryota; Metazoa; Chordata; Aves; Anseriformes; Anatidae
Description: lncRNA (ENSABRG00000011245.1)
Source: RNAcentral
UUUUAAAGUGGCUGUUGCACAUACUUCUUUCAACUCAUUUGGAAAAAUAAACUGGUAAGUUUGCAGUUUAUUCCCAAGACUGAUACUGUCAUGGGCCUCCAGUAGGGCAAAGCUUCAAAGUGACAUUCAUAACUUUGAGAAGUAGCAUCAAAAAGAAUAGGAUGAAGCUUAGCAGGGAGAGGUGCAAAAUGCUGCACUAUGGGCAUAACAGCCAUUGACUCGAGUGACUUUUACUGAAUCUAAUUUGUUGGCAAUUAACACCACGUUCUGGACAGUAAUUUGGAUAUUAGCUUAAAAAAAACCCCACACCUUUCUUCCAGGCUCGAUGCCAACAACUACGCUGUGCCUUAAGAAACCCGAGCUGUUUACUGCCCCCCUGAGGGAGGAAGGGAGCGGCGCCGCCAUGUUAGGCUCUUCCCGGGGGCGGUGCCACCAUGUCGCGCUCCUCCUUGCCGCUGCCCGGCUGCCUUCGGGAGGUGGCUCCACGUGCUGUGGCUUUUGGGGUGCCCGGGGGCCAUGGCUGCGCCCUGCAGCCUCCAGGAGCCGUUCUGCGGCCGUUUAGCUGCCACCAGGUGCACGGGCUGUGCUGCGACUCCUGGCCCCGCAAACCCCGCAGGUCGUGUUGGUGGCGUUACGUGCCAGGGAGGAAGCACAGGCUGGCUUAGGACCAUAUUGUUUUUCCACGCUGCUGAGGACUUCUGAGAUGGAAAACCAUCUGCAAGUUUGCUUACAGAUCAACCCCUUGUGAAGCCCAGGACAUAAGAAAGCACCAUGAAAAAUUAUCCGCUUAUUUCCAGUGCACAAGGAACAUGGAGUGGAGAUGGUCAGGAGAUCGUGUUCUUUGGGCCACUUGUAAUAUUUACCAGGUUGUGUCCGUGUGACCAGCAGUGUGGGCGGGUGACCUCUCAGAACUGCGGCUUUCCCCUCACUGCCAAGGGUUUUAUUGUUGUUGUCCUGGCUGAAAUUAGCAGGCUGUCGGGAAUGCACACGUUUGUUGUGAGUGAUUGCAGUCACUCAGUUCUUCAAGACCAAAGCUUUACGUAAAUUAAAUUAAUAAUAAAAAAAUGUGUUCAGACA